RNAcentral lists this ribosomal RNA (497 nucleotides) under uncultured bacterium. RNAcentral's name for it is "partial 16S ribosomal RNA". It matches the Rfam family "Bacterial small subunit ribosomal RNA", at positions 28 to 507 of the family's 1533-position model. The record is from RNAcentral.
GAUGAACGCUGGCGGCGUGCCUAAUACAUGCAAGUCGAGCGAACGGACGAGAAGCUUGCUUCUCUGAUGUUAGCGGCGGACGGGUGAGUAACACGUGGAUAACCUACCUAUAAGACUGGGAUAACUUCGGGAAACCGGAGCUAAUACCGGAUAAUAUUUUGAACCGCAUGGUGCAAAAGUAAAAGACGGUCUUGCUGUCACUUAUAGAUGGAUCCGCGCUGCAUUAGCUAGUUGGUAAGGUAACGGCUUACCAAGGCAAGUAUGCAUAGACGACCUGAGAGGGUGAUCGGCCACCCUGGAACUGGGACACGGUCCAGACUCCUACGGGAGGCAGCAGUAGGGAAUCUUACGCAAUGGGCGAAAGCCUGACGGAGCAACGCCGCGUGAGUGAUGAAGGUCUUCGGAUCGUAAAACUGUGUUACUAGGGAAGAACAGAUGUGUAAGUAAAUGUGCACAUCUUGACGGUACCUAAUCAGAAAGCAACGGCUAACUACGUG